Molecule: ribosomal RNA, 497 nt
Filed under: uncultured Actinomycetes bacterium
Lineage: Bacteria; Bacillati; Actinomycetota; Actinomycetes
Description: bacterial SSU rRNA
Rfam family: Bacterial small subunit ribosomal RNA
Source: RNAcentral
UUGUUGGUGAGGUAAUGGCUCACCAAGGCGACGACGGGUAGCCGGCCUGAGAGGGCGACCGGCCACACUGSGKCUGAGACACGGCCCAGACUCUACGGGAGGCAGCAGUGGGGAAUAUUGGGCAAUGGAGGAAACUCUGACCCAGCGACGCCGCGUGCGGGAUGAAGGCUUCGGGUUGUAAACCGCUUUCAGCAGGGAAGAAGCGAAAGUGACGGUACCUGCAGAAGAAGCACCGGCUAACUAUGUGCCAGCAGCCGCGGUAAUACAUAGGGUGCAAGCGUUGUCCGGAAUUAUUGGGCGUAAAGAGCUCGUAGGUGGUUCGUCACGUCGGAUGUGAAACUCUGGGGCUUAACCCCAGACCUGCAUUCGAUACGGGCGAGCUUGAGUAUGGUAGGGGAGUCUGGAAUUCCUGGUGUAGCGGUGGAAUGCGCAGAUAUCAGGAGGAACACCAAUGGCGAAGGCAGGACUCUGGGCCAUUACUGACACUGAGGAGCGAA